Molecule: long non-coding RNA, 924 nt
Organism: Pygocentrus nattereri (red-bellied piranha)
Lineage: Eukaryota; Metazoa; Chordata; Actinopteri; Characiformes; Serrasalmidae
Exons: 3
Source: RefSeq, a predicted model, not a curated record
GGUUGAGAGGUGGUCCUGCAGACCUGUAGUUCUGAGCACUUUCUGCAGCAGAUCAGACAAACAGAACAACAUGCUGAGAUGUUUUACUGGGGAGCCCUUACAUGUUUUAAUCAGCUAGUAAUUGUGUGAAUCUAGUGCCUUUCCUGCACUGCAGGGCUGAAAUCAGCUGUUUUUCUUAAAAACGUAGUUUCUGUACAUCAGAGUCUCCAGUUUUCUAGAGCUGAAAGAACAAGAGCAGUUAAAUUCUGCAUGUUGCAGUACUUUUGAUUGGCUGUAAUAAAACUUAAAUCUCAAUCUUUAAACCUACUGUUUGCUUUCUCACAGAGAAGUAACGAGUAGGAAAAUUUAAGGGAACCCAGGCUGUUAAUACUUGCAACAGUGUACAUAUCCAAUACUAUUAAAAUACUAUUAUGCAUAUUACAGUGCUAUUAAAUUAUUAUAUAUAAACAAGAAAGAAAUGUUUAUUAUAAAAGAAUAUGGCAAAUAGGCAAAGUUCCUGUAUGACUAGGCCCUCAUUGUCACACUGUGAUGUCAUGUGGUUGCAUUGAGAUCAGUCCUGUGGUAAAUAAGACAAUCAACAAGUUUGUCUCCUGAGUAAUAUCACGUUCUAGCUAAAGUGGGAAAGAUAUGAUAUAUUGGAGGUAAAUGAGAAUAUUAGCUUCCUGUUCCUCGCUUAGUGGACGAGAGAGAGCAUCCAUUUGAUGUGGAAAACAAUAAUGGCACACAGUUUCCAAGAGUAACACCAAAGAGAGUCAGCCACCAUCCCCGUUAGAACCUGUUCUAUCUACUUGUUCCUCAGCAAGUGAUCAGAGGACUGGAAAGAACACAAUAUCAGAAAACAGUGCUCAAGAGAACUAUCAGCUGUUGCAAUCAGGACCUGUUCUGUUUGCUUGUUCCUUAGCAAGUGAUCAAAGGUCUAAGAAG